AUCCUUUUGUAGUUCAUAAGCACGAUGAUGUCGUGUUCACGCCGUUGUGUGACACGUGCCUCCCUCAAACCUUGUUACAACCUUGGCACAUUACCCUCUGAUG
Molecule: small nucleolar RNA, 103 nt
Organism: Zalophus californianus (California sea lion)
Lineage: Eukaryota; Metazoa; Chordata; Mammalia; Carnivora; Otariidae
Source: Ensembl